GACGAACGCUGGCGGCGUGCUUAACACAUGCAAGUCGAACGGAAAGGCCCCUUUUGGGGUACUCGAGUGGCGAACGGGUGAGUAACACGUGAGUAACCUGCCCUUGACUUCGGGAUAACUUCAGGAAACUGGGGCUAAUACCGGCUAGGAAUCCUUGCUGCAUGGUGGGGGUUGGUAAGCUUCGGCGGUUUUGGAUGGACUCGCGGCUUAUCAGCUUGUUGGUGGGGUAGUGGCUUACCAAGGCUUUGACGGGUAGCUGGCCUGAGAGGGUGACCGGCCACAUUGGGACUGAGAGACGGCCCAGACUCCGACGGGAGGAAGCAGGGGGGAAUAUUGAACAAUGGGCGGAAGCCUGAUGCAGCAACGCCGCGGGCGGGAUGACGGCCUUCGGGUUGUAAACCGCUUUCAGCAGGGGCGAAGCUUGUGGUGACGGUACCUGCAGAAGAAGCACCGGCUAACUACGUG
Molecule: ribosomal RNA, 465 nt
Filed under: uncultured bacterium
Lineage: Bacteria
Description: partial 16S ribosomal RNA
Rfam family: Bacterial small subunit ribosomal RNA
Source: RNAcentral